CCCUGGCUCAGGACGAACGCUGGCGGCAUGCCUAAUACAUGCAAGUCGAGCGGAGUUUUGUUGAAAGCUUGCUUUCAACAGGAUUUAGCGGCGGACGGGUGAGUAACACGUAGGCAACCUGCCCCAUAGCCUGGGAUAACUACCGGAAACGGUAGCUAAUACCGGAUAAUUCCUUUCCCCACCUGGGAAGAGGAUGAAAGACGGAGUAAUCUGUCGCUGAGGGAUGGGCCUGCGGCGCAUUAGCUAGUUGGUGGGGUAACGGCUCACCAAGGCGACGAUGCGUAGCCGACCUGAGAGGGUGAACGGCCACACUGGGACUGAGACACGGCCCAGACUCCUACGGGAGGCAGCAGUAGGGAAUCUUCCGCAAUGGGCGCAAGCCUGACGGAGCAAUGCCGCGUGAGUGAUGAAGGUUUUCGGAUCGUAAAGCUCUGUUGCCAGGGAAGAACGUCUUAUAGAGUAACUGCUAUAAGAGUGACGGUACCUGAGAAGAAAGCCCCGGCUAACUA
RNAcentral lists this ribosomal RNA (509 nucleotides) under Paenibacillaceae bacterium CL6.86. RNAcentral describes it as "bacterial SSU rRNA". It matches the Rfam family "Bacterial small subunit ribosomal RNA", at positions 17 to 503 of the family's 1533-position model. The record is from RNAcentral. Lineage: Bacteria; Bacillati; Bacillota; Bacilli; Caryophanales; Paenibacillaceae.